GGACUACUGGGGUAUCUAAUCCUGUUUGCUCCCCUAGCUUUCGUGCCUCAGUGUCAGGUGUUGUCCAGGGACUCGCCUUCGCCACUGGUGUUCCGCUUGAUAUCUACGCAUUUCACUGCUACACCAAGCAUUCCAGUCCCCCCUCCAACCCUCUAGCAACGCAGUUUCCAAUGCCGUUUCGGAGUUGAGCUCCGAGAUUUCACAUCCGACUUACGUCACCACCUACGCACCCUUUACGCCCAGUGAAUCCGAACAACGCUCGGGACCUCUGUAUUACCGCGGCUGCUGGCAC
RNAcentral lists this ribosomal RNA (292 nucleotides) under uncultured bacterium. Its description in RNAcentral is "partial 16S ribosomal RNA". The record is from RNAcentral. RNAcentral also lists the same sequence under 1 other name.